Molecule: ribosomal RNA, 1152 nt
Filed under: Rhodococcus sp. OAct624
Lineage: Bacteria; Bacillati; Actinomycetota; Actinomycetes; Mycobacteriales; Nocardiaceae
Description: bacterial SSU rRNA
Rfam family: Bacterial small subunit ribosomal RNA
Source: RNAcentral
UGAAUCUGAGAGAACCCCGGCCCAGACUCUACGGGAGGCAGCAGUGGGGAUAUGGCACAUUGGCGCAAGCUGAUGCAGCGACGCGCUGAGGGAUGACGCUCGGUGUAAACAUCUUUCAGUACUGACGAAGCGCAAGUGACGCUAGUACAGAAGAAGCACCGGCCAACUACGUGCCAGCAGCCGCGGUAAUACGUAGGGUGCGAGCGUGUCCUGGAAUUACUGGGCGUAAAGAGCUCGUAGGCGGUUUGUCGCGUCGUCUGUGAAAACCCGCAGCUCAACUGCGGGCUUGCAGGCGAUACGGGCAGACUUGAGUACUGCAGGGGAGACUGGAAUUCCUGGUGUAGCGGUGAAAUGCGCAGAUAUCAGGAGGAACACCGGUGGCGAAGGCGGGUCUCUGGGCAGUAACUGACGCUGAGGAGCGAAAGCGUGGGUAGCGAACAGGAUUAGAUACCCUGGUAGUCCACGCCGUAAACGGUGGGCGCUAGGUGUGGGUUUCCUUCCACGGGAUCCGUGCCGUAGCUAACGCAUUAAGCGCCCCGCCUGGGGAGUACGGCCGCAAGGCUAAAACUCAAAGGAAUUGACGGGGGCCCGCACAAGCGGCGGAGCAUGUGGAUUAAUUCGAUGCAACGCGAAGAACCUUACCUGGGUUUGACAUACACCGGACCGCCCCAGAGAUGGGGUUUCCCUUGUGGUCGGUGUACAGGUGGUGCAUGGCUGUCGUCAGCUCGUGUCGUGAGAUGUUGGGUUAAGUCCCGCAACGAGCGCAACCCUUGUCCUGUGUUGCCAGCACGUAAUGGUGGGGACUCGCAGGAGACUGCCGGGGUCAACUCGGAGGAAGGUGGGGACGACGUCAAGUCAUCAUGCCCCUUAUGUCCAGGGCUUCACACAUGCUACAAUGGCCGGUACAGAGGGCUGCGAUACCGCGAGGUGGAGCGAAUCCCUUAAAGCCGGUCUCAGUUCGGAUCGGGGUCUGCAACUCGACCCCGUGAAGUCGGAGUCGCUAGUAAUCGCAGAUCAGCAACGCUGCGGUGAAUACGUUCCCGGGCCUUGUACACACCGCCCGUCACGUCAUGAAAGUCGGUAACACCCGAAGCCGGUGGCCUAACCCCUCGUGGGAGGGAGCCGUCGAAGGUGGGAUCGGCGAUUGGGACG